CAGGGCUUGACAUAGUAGCGAAUGAUGUAGAGAUAUAUCAGUCCUUCGGGACGCUAUUACAGGUGGUGCAUGGUUGUCGUCAGCUCGUGUCGUGUGAUGUUGGGUUAAGUCCCGCAACGAGCGCAACCCCUGUUGUUAGUUGCCAUCAUUAAGUUGGGCACUCUAGCGAGACUGCCGGUGACAAAUCGGAGGAAGGUGGGGACGACGUCAAAUCAUCAUGCCCCUUAUGUCCUGGGCUACACACGUACUACAAUGGCUAUUACAGCAGGAUGCCAAGCCGUAAGGCGGAGCAAAUCCAAAAAAAUAGCCCCAGUUCAGAUUGUGGGCUGAAACUCGCCCACAUGAAGUCGGAAUUGCUAGUAAUUGCAGGUCAGCAUACUGCAGUGAAUACGUUUC
Molecule: ribosomal RNA, 396 nt
Filed under: uncultured bacterium
Lineage: Bacteria
Description: bacterial SSU rRNA
Rfam family: Bacterial small subunit ribosomal RNA
Source: RNAcentral